GUAAGACGCCACCUGAUCUGUGAGUCUGUGCACGGGGGCUUUCCAGGAAUAGUGCUCCAAGUAGCAGUACAGCAGGGAUUAGCAGAAGCGUAGUCAAGGAAAGCCAAAGUCAGGGGAAUCCAGAGAUCAGAGUAGUCCAGGAGGAAAGCCAAGGUCAGAAGCUGGAAUCAGACAGGAAAUACUGGAACGCAGAUAUAGCAAGACAGGAACCAAACAAGGGAACCAGAGUCAAUGAACUGACACUGCCCUCAGGGAGAGGCAGUGUCUUUUACCUGGCUAAUUGGUGAUCAGCCACACGUGUGCUGAGAUCGUUGGAGCAGCCACAGAAUAACGUCCAGCCCCCAGUGUUGGGUACAAGGCAAGAUAGACUUCUGGCUAUCUUUCGAGCUGAUAUGGUGGCUCAGAGGCAAAAUAGCAGCCCCAGGACUGCAAAGUACCCUGGUUAAAGUCCGUCACCGGGCACUUCUGGGGCGACCUUGUCUGGCCGUCGGGAUGUCACGGUGAGAACCGUGACAGUACCCUCCCUUCAAGAACGCCCUCCGGGCGUGAACAGGUUCUUCUUGGAAAUAGUACUCCUCAUCUUCGGUCUCAGAUCACUAAGAUAGUCUUUGUAAUUACAGUCUCCAGAGCGGAGUCCCUUUACAGCCUGGGACUUUAUGGUACCAGUUUCGGGUACUAAUGGAAAGAGGUCAAGGUUAUUCAUGGAUUUGGUGGAGGCGGUAAGUACCUUGAUCCCAGGAGUCAUUUUCUCUGAACUUUUUUUUCUUAGGUGAGUCACCAGGAGCAGAGUUCACGGCUUUCAAAGCCCUUUCAAACGUUUCCAGAUCUGUUCUGUGGACCUUGGUACCAGGUGCAAUCCGCAGGUAGUUCUCCUUUGGGCAGACAGGAAGUGGUGAUGGUACCAGUUUUAACAGGAGAGUCUUCUGGAGGUGGUGAAUUCUCAUGAUCACCGAUUAUGUGUUCUUGAGAGACACUGGCAUCAGUAGCCAUCGUAGUCUGGGUACUCUUCUGCGUCACGGAACGUGGAAACAUCCGACAGUACCCUUGACAAUUUUCUGGCAGUGUUGCCGGGAUAACAGGAUGAAGCUGAGUAGUACCUACUUGAAGAGGCUUAGGCCGAGUUGGGCGAAUAGGGCAGUGGGAGAUAAAGUGCCCUCCUUCUCCACAAUAGAAACAGAGACAACAAGCCCUCCUUUGGUCUCUUUCUCUAGAUGGCAGUCUUGUUGUAGUGCGGAUGAAGCCGAUCUCCAUGGGUUCCUCCUUGUCCUCUAGAGUGCCAAGUUCCACAUGGGUAACAUUAUGAUGACAAGGCAGGUCCUUGGAGGUAGGUUUAGACUGUAGCGAGAUGGGAUUCUUGUAUUCAUAAAAUAAUUCCCCUUCUCUAGGCAACCGGGUUCUGCAAGAACAUGAAGUAGGCUUGGGAGUUGCUUUCCUUGAUGCAAAGCACUGAGAGUCCAUUGCGGACAUGAACAACUCCCAGGAGUCCAAGACAGUACUUCUCUCCUGCAGCUUCUGGUGUGCCCACGCCUUAAUCCGCCCAGUACACAGGUUAAUAGCGGAGCGGACUCUGAUAAGGUCGGUGGCGUAGGUUCUAGGUUUCAGGGCAAACAGUAGCUCACAAUCCUUCUUGAACAUCGGGAAAGCAGAACGGGAAACCUGUCAGGCAUAAUGACAUAGGGUUCUGGGUAUGUAUGUUCCGGGAUUGGAUGUACUGCUCCUUUAAAUGCCAAUGAACAUCUAUGCAAAUCCAUAACAUUCUGGGACAGGUUGGAGACUUGUUCAGCCAGGGAGGUGAGUAAUUUGUAUAACUCUGCAGACUCCAUAUGGUCAGUUCAUUAUGUCAGGUUCUUACCUGAUGGGGAGUCCGGCUCGCAGAGUUAUACGCUCACCCUUGCAAAGUAGACACAGACCAGGGUGACCAGGUAAGACGCCACCUGAUCUGUGAGUCUGUGCACGGGGGCUUUCCAGGAAUAGUGCUCCAAGUAGCAGUACAGCAGGGAUUAGCAGAAGCGUAGUCAAGGAAAGCCAAAGUCAGGGGAAGCCAGAUAUCAGAGUAGUCCAGGAGGAAAGCCAAGGUCAGAAGCCGGAAUCAGACAGGAAAUACUGGAACGCAGAUAUAGCAAGACAGGAACCAAACAAGGGAACCAGAGUCAAUGAACUGACACUGCCCUCAGGGAGAGGCAGUGUCUUAUACCUGGCUAAUUUGUGAUCAGCCACAGGUGUGCUGAGAUCGUUGGAGCAGCU
This 2244-nucleotide long non-coding RNA is filed under the name Pelobates cultripes (western spadefoot toad). The record is from RNAcentral. Lineage: Eukaryota; Metazoa; Chordata; Amphibia; Anura; Pelobatidae.